UUUUAUGAGAGUUUGAUCCUGGCUCAGGACGAACGCUGGCGGCGUGCCUAAUACAUGCAAGUCGAACGCUUCUUUUUCCACCGGAGCUUGCUCCACCGGAAAAAGAGGAGUGGCGAACGGGUGAGUAACACGUGGGUAACCUGCCCAUCAGAAGGGGAUAACACUUGGAAACAGGUGCUAAUACCGUAUAACAAUCAAAACCGCAUGGUUUUGAUUUGAAAGGCGCUUUCGGGUGUCGCUGAUGGAUGGACCCGCGGUGCAUUAGCUAGUUGGUGAGGUAACGGCUCACCAAGGCCACGAUGCAUAGCCGACCUGAGAGGGUGAUCGGCCACAUUGGGACUGAGACACGGCCCAAACUCCUACGGGAGGCAGCAGUAGGGAAUCUUCGGCAAUGGACGAAAGUCUGACCGAGCAACGCCGCGUGAGUGAAGAAGGUUUUCGGAUCGUAAAACUCUGUUGUUAGAGAAGAACAAGGAUGAGAGUAACUGUUCAUCCCUUGACGGUAUCUAACCAGAAAGCCACGGCUAACUACGUGCCAGCAGCCGCGGUAAUACGUAGGUGGCAAGCGUUGUCCGGAUUUAUUGGGCGUAAAGCGAGCGCAGGCGGUUUCUUAAGUCUGAUGUGAAAGCCCCCGGCUCAACCGGGGAGGGUCAUUGGAAACUGGGAGACUUGAGUGCAGAAGAGGAGAGUGGAAUUCCAUGUGUAGCGGUGAAAUGCGUAGAUAUAUGGAGGAACACCAGUGGCGAAGGCGGCUCUCUGGUCUGUAACUGACGCUGAGGCUCGAAAGCGUGGGGAGCAAACAGGAUUAGAUACCCUGGUAGUCCACGCCGUAAACGAUGAGUGCUAAGUGUUGGAGGGUUUCCGCCCUUCAGUGCUGCAGCUAACGCAUUAAGCACUCCGCCUGGGGAGUACGACCGCAAGGUUGAAACUCAAAGGAAUUGACGGGGGCCCGCACAAGCGGUGGAGCAUGUGGUUUAAUUCGAAGCAACGCGAAGAACCUUACCAGGUCUUGACAUCCUUUGACCACUCUAGAG
Molecule: ribosomal RNA, 1034 nt
Filed under: Enterococcus faecium
Lineage: Bacteria; Bacillati; Bacillota; Bacilli; Lactobacillales; Enterococcaceae
Description: bacterial SSU rRNA
Rfam family: Bacterial small subunit ribosomal RNA
Source: RNAcentral